This 57-nucleotide transfer RNA is filed under the name Graptacme eborea. RNAcentral describes it as "tRNA-Ser". The record is from RNAcentral. Lineage: Eukaryota; Metazoa; Mollusca; Scaphopoda; Dentaliida; Dentaliidae.
AGAUAAGUAAAAAAAAAAUAAGCUUCUAACUUAUUAUUUUAGGUGUUAAUUCAUCUU